Molecule: ribosomal RNA, 497 nt
Filed under: uncultured bacterium
Lineage: Bacteria
Description: partial 16S ribosomal RNA
Rfam family: Bacterial small subunit ribosomal RNA
Source: RNAcentral
GAUGAACGCUGGCGGCGUGCCUAAUACAUGCAAGUCGAGCGAACAGAUGAGGAGCUUGCUCCUCUGACGUUAGCGGCGGACGGGUGAGUAACACGUGGAUAACCUACCUAUAAGACUGGGAUAACUUCGGGAAACCGGAGCUAAUACCGGAUAAUAUAUUGAACCGCAUGGUUCAAUAGUGAAAGACGGUUUUGCUGUCACUUAUAGAUGGAUCCGCGCCGCAUUAGCUAGUUGGUAAGGUAACGGCUUACCAAGGCAACGAUGCGUAGCCGACCUGAGAGGGUGAUCGGCCACACUGGAACUGAGACACGGUCCAGACUCCUACGGGAGGCAGCAAUAGGGAAUCUUACGCAAUGGGCGAAAGCCCGACGGAGCAACGCCGCGUGAGUGAUGAAGGUCUUCGGAUCGUAAAACUCUGUUAUUAGGGAAGAACAAAUGUGUAAUUAACUAUGCACGUCUUGACGGUACCUAAUCAGAAAGCCACGGCUAACUACGUG